Molecule: ribosomal RNA, 264 nt
Filed under: uncultured bacterium
Lineage: Bacteria
Description: partial 16S ribosomal RNA
Rfam family: Bacterial small subunit ribosomal RNA
Source: RNAcentral
GUCCACGCCGUAAACGAUGGGUGCUAGGUGUGGGCGGUGUCGACUCCGCCCGUGCCGCAGCUAACGCAUUAAGCACCCCGCCUGGGGAGUACGGCCGCAAGGCUAAAACUCAAAGGAAUUGACGGGGGCCCCGCACAAGCAGCGGAGCAUGUGGUUUAAUUCGACGCAACGCGAAGAACCUUACCAGGGCUUGACAUGCACGGGAAUGUCGUAGAAAUACGGCAGCCCUUCGGGGCUCGUGCACAGGUGGUGCAUGGCUGUCGU